AAGCAUUUAAGACAGAUUACUUCGGUUUGAAGUCUUUUAUGACUGAGUGGCGGACGGGUGAGUAACGCGUGGGUAACCUGCCUCAUACAGGGGGAUAGCAGCUGGAAACGGCUGGUAAUACCGCAUAAGCGCACAGUACCACAUGGUACAGUGUGAAAAACUCCGGUGGUAUGAGAUGGACCCGCGUCUGAUUAGCUUGUUGGCGGGGUAACGGCCCACCAAGGCGACGAUCAGUAGCCGACCUGAGAGGGUGACCGGCCACAUUGGGACUGAGACACGGCCCAGACUCCUACGGGAGGCAGCAGUGGGGAAUAUUGCACAAUGGAGGAAACUCUGAUGCAGCGACGCCGCGUGAGUGAAGAAGUAGUUCGCUAUGUAAAGCUCUAUCAGCAGGGAAGAUAGUGACGGUACCUGACUAAGAAGCUCCGGCUAAAUACGUGCCAGCAGCCGCGGUAAUACGUAUGGAGCAAGCGUUAUCCGGAUUUACUGGGUGUAAAGGGAGUGUAGGUGGCCAGGCAAGUCAGAAGUGAAAGCCCGGGGCUCAACCCCGGGACUGCUUUUGAAACUGCAGGGCUAGAGUGCAGGAGGGGCAAGUGGAAUUCCUAGUGUAGCGGUGAAAUGCGUAGAUAUUAGGAGGAACACCAGUGGCGAAGGCGGCUUGCUGGACUGUAACUGACACUGAGGCUCGAAAGCGUGNGGAGCAAACAGGAUUAGAUACCCUGGUANUCCACG
RNAcentral lists this ribosomal RNA (732 nucleotides) under uncultured bacterium. RNAcentral's name for it is "bacterial SSU rRNA". It matches the Rfam family "Bacterial small subunit ribosomal RNA", at positions 51 to 799 of the family's 1533-position model. The record is from RNAcentral.